This 365-nucleotide long non-coding RNA is filed under the name Pan troglodytes (chimpanzee). RNAcentral describes it as "long non-coding RNA NONPTRT015531". Lineage: Eukaryota; Metazoa; Chordata; Mammalia; Primates; Hominidae. The record is from RNAcentral.
UGCCAAGGCAAUGACUUCCUGUGGGCACAAUUCAUUUGUAUUGUCACCACCAACAGUCUGUUUGCAGCAGUUGUCCGAAGCUGAGGUUGCCUUCUGUUAGCCGCUUCUCUUGGUUGGACCUGAGCAAUGGGCAGGUGCCAGAGAACCCUGGACAAGAAGAGGCUUCCAGCCGGGUGCUGCAGAAAACUUGUUCUGCAAAAGCAGACAGGAGACGCUGAAUGAAGGACUCUGUUCUCCAACAACAGAUUUCAUCAUUGUGAGGUUCACAUGGGGUGUGUUUUCAUUUUGUUUUUCCCUACAGUUUCAAUCUUCUUUCCUCCCAGAAAGGGUUCUUUUGUGUUUGACCUCGUCCCGACGCGUUGGAA